AGUGAACGCUGGCGGCGUGCUUAACACAUGCAAGUCGAACGAGAACGGAAUAUAGCUUGCUAUAUUUGUCAGCUAAGUGGCGCACGGGUGAGUAAUGUAUAGAUAACCUGCCCUUAAGAAAGGAAUAACAGUUGGAAACGACUGCUAAUGCCCUAUAUGCCUUUAAUACAUAAGUAUGCAAGGGAAACGCUUUAGUGCUUAAGGAUGGGUCUGUAUGGUAUCAGCUUGUUGGUGAGGUAAUGGCUCACCAAGGCUAUGACGCCUAACUGGUUUGAGAGGAUGAUCAGUCACACUGGAACUGAGACACGGUCCAGACUCCUACGGGAGGCAGCAGUGGGGAAUAUUGCACAAUGGACGAAAGUCUGAUGCAGCAACGCCGCGUGGAGGAUGACACAUUUCGGUGCGUAAACUCCUUUUAUAUAGGAAGAUAAUGACGGUACUAUAUGAAUAAGCACCGGCUAACUCCGUGCCAGCAGCCGCCGCAG
This 485-nucleotide ribosomal RNA is filed under the name uncultured bacterium. Its description in RNAcentral is "partial 16S ribosomal RNA". It matches the Rfam family "Bacterial small subunit ribosomal RNA", at positions 29 to 523 of the family's 1533-position model. The record is from RNAcentral.